GCCGGCAUAGCUCAGUUGGUAGAGCAGCUGAUUUGUAAUCAGCAGGUCCCGGGUUCGAUUCCUGGUGCCGGCA
Molecule: non-coding RNA, 73 nt
Organism: Beta vulgaris subsp. vulgaris (sugar beet)
Lineage: Eukaryota; Viridiplantae; Streptophyta; Magnoliopsida; Caryophyllales; Amaranthaceae
Source: Rfam